This 497-nucleotide ribosomal RNA is filed under the name uncultured bacterium. RNAcentral describes it as "partial 16S ribosomal RNA". It matches the Rfam family "Bacterial small subunit ribosomal RNA", at positions 28 to 507 of the family's 1533-position model. The record is from RNAcentral.
GAUGAACGCUGGCGGCGUGCCUAAUACAUGCAAGUCGAGCGAACGGACGAGAAGCUUGCUUCUCUGAUGUUAGCGGCGGACGGGUGAGUAACACGUGGAUAACCUACCUAUAAGACUGGGAUAACUUCGGGAAACCGGAGCUAAUACCGGAUAAUAUUUUGAACCGCAUGGUUCAAAAGUGAAAGACGGUCUUGCUGUCACUUAUAGAUGGAUCCGCGCUGCAUUAGCUGGUUGGUAAGGUAACGGCUUACCAAGGCAACGAUGCAUAGCCGACCUGAGAGGGUGAUAGGCCACACUGGAACUGAGACACGGUCCAGACUCCUACGGGAGGCAGCAGUAGGGAAUCUUCCGCAAUGGGCGAAAGCCUGACGGAGCAACGCCGCGUGAGUGAUGAAGGUCUUCGGAUCGUAAAACUCUGUUAUUAGGGAAGAACAUAUGUGUAAGUAACUGUGCACAUCUUGACGGUACCUAAUCAGAAAGCCACGGCUAACUACGUG